This 3168-nucleotide unclassified non-coding RNA is filed under the name Leishmania donovani. Its description in RNAcentral is "gene:LdHU3.27.2810(CDS-product:hypothetical_prote in_conserved)". The record is from RNAcentral. Lineage: Eukaryota; Euglenozoa; Kinetoplastea; Trypanosomatida; Trypanosomatidae.
UCGUGAUAGCACCCACACUCACGAGACCUUCUCUUCUUGCGUGAUACCUUGCCCGCGUCUGUCCUCUGCCCAUUCCGGCUUCUCUCACGCCUCGAAGCGACUUACAAGUAUAUUCACACCACGCCUCGUUCCUGCGGUGAUGUCAGCAUACGACACGGAAGCGGUGGCGGCCAUUCCGGUAGCCGUACUACCGCCUGGCAUCCGCCACGCCACCCUUUCCAUGGAGGCACACGAACAGAACCACCUGGCUAUUGGCAUGGGCGGCGAGAAGUACUUAGUAGUGCAUCCAACGUACUCGCUGGCGCCGCACUUGUACAGCCGCCGCAUGCUUGGUGCAGUGCUGCUGGUGCUGCUGGAGGUGGCCGUUUUCCUUUUCACGCUUCUAGGCUUGUGCACGCCAUGCAUCACUGUGCACAAACGGAAAUACUUCGCCUUGCUGGGCGGCCACGGCGGGUCCAUGACGGACCCGCCCGGGCGAAACCUGUCACUGAUUGCGUGUUCGGUGUUGAUCAUCGUACUCUUCGUCUUUUCGUUCAUCUUCUCUGUUGUCGUGGCGUGCUGCGUGCGAUGUGACCAGCGCGCGCGCGUGAGCGAAGAGUUGUUCAACCGGGAACUGCUGGAGCUGUACGGCGCGCAGGUGCACGAUGAUGGGCGCGUGUACAGCGCUGGUGGUGAGCCGAGCGCUUUGAAAGACGAGGGCAUGUGGGGCCCGUGCUGUGGGUUCGAGGCGAACGAGCGGUCACGACGGUCGAGAAACACCGGAAUCUCGUGCUUGCAGUGCAUCGUGGUAACCGCCAGCCUGAUCCUGGAGGGCGCCGCCGUGUACAACAUGAAGUGGAUGCACAGAACUGCCGUGGCGAGCGGUGAGACCGCCACAUAUGAGAAGGGCUUCUCCGUCACCGUCUUCGCGUUGGUGUUGAGAUUAUUUCAGCUUCUCUUUUACUGCUACAUGGCAUUCCAUAUGCUGUACAUCGGCUCCCAUCGAAGCAUGCCGCGCUGCCAGCUCAUCCAUACGUCCAGUACCCGCGCAGCCGGUGUUCUUUCGACCCAUGGCGAAGCCGCCAGCUCUGGUGACCAGCUUGCAAAGAUCGACUCGGAGAGCGGUUAUCCAUCCAAGCCGCGGCACAGCGCUGCUGACAGGGAAGGCGAUCGCGAGAUGGAGCUCAUUCCAAACUCGCGCACCACGUUGCAUUCGUGUCCGUGAGGGGUGCUCUGCUUUCCGCGUCGUCUUCGGUGCAAGCGAUGGCGCAGCGGCAGAGGACGAACAGGAUAAGGGUAGGCGCGUUCCCGCCGCUUCUCUACUUUGGGGUGGAAGGGCAGAGCGGGGGUGGCGGUUGUUGUCUAUCACACCAUCGACACACGCAUGCACGCGGUGUGUCGCGUACAGCGUGAUCGUAGCGAAAGGAAUCGGAGAGGUUGCUUGCGUGGUGCUCUCUCGGCUCGCUCGCCCGUUUCUCUUGCUCUCGUUAUUUUGCCGCCCUCCACGGGCUCUUGAUGCUGCCGGCCACCUCGGUCUGUGGCAUCACAGGGCCCAGUACCGACUCUUUCUGGGGAAGUCAAGCAGCCUGCACAGCCUGCCCUCGGGGGUACGGACUGGCGGACCCGUGGUGUCGGCGGGCAGGUCGUUGCUGGCGCCGCGCCGAAGAGACGUGUGACCAUGGUGAUCACGUUUGUGCCGGCUCACCGCGCAUUUUGUCAACUUUUUCAACAAACAUACGAAAUAGAAAAAAAAGUAGCAGCCCGGUAUGCAGGCAGCGGCGCACACGGUCGCAGAGAGCCGUGGCCUGAGGCUGGCCAACCUCCUCCUUGAGCCCAUCCGGCGUGCACGUAGACCAGCCCCUACUAGCAGCACGACGUACGCCCCCGCCUCCGCCCUCGAGCAGGACGCUGCACGCGGCCCAGGUGGGCUAAGGCGUGCAGCGCAGCCAGGCCCGUGUGGGGCCGAUUGCGCUGCAGGUAUGCGAAGAAGGGAGGGGGAAAGACAGGAAGAGUCCGCUGGACGCAUGGGCCCGAUUCGACGGCCGGAUGGCUCUUCCUAGACGCCGAGGAUGUAGCUCGCAGUGCGGCAGAGGCUGGCGGGCUGUGGCUGUGCAUGCGUGUGCUUGCGGACUUGCUCGUGGGUGGAAUAGGGGUACGCUGAAAAGGAAAAGAGAAAUGCAGGCGCAUCUCCGUGUGAGCGCAUCUUCGAGGGUGUGUCUGUGUAUGUGCGUUGGCACGUGGUGGUCUGUGUGCCUUCUUGUUUCUCGUUACUGCUAGAGCAGCAGCGGCUGCCCUUUCUGCUUGUUGCGCGUAUUGCUGUCGUUUCUUCACUUUCUGAUGCCUUCUCACCCCUCACCUCUCCUCAACACCGCCUGCUCUUCGCUUUCCCCAUGGAUUACGCCUCUGCUGCCUUCUCGUGUAUGUGUGUGCGUGUAUCUCUGUUUCUCUGGUUAUUUCGCCACACUAGGGCACUGGGUGGAUGCUUUGGGUAUUAGUGUUACACUCUUGAUUAUCUCUUCCCGAUUGCAUGCGUUUGUGUUUUCACUUCCUGUGCUGCUGCUGCUCCCUCGGAAGGGCGAGUGCAGGGGAUGGGGUGAGGUGUGGCGGAGCCGUGCUGGUGCGCUUCGCCUUUGUGCACGUAUAUCUUGGUCUUUCUUCUUUUCCUUGUUUUCUUCCAUGGAUUUCGUGGUAAUUUCCAUUGUCGCUGCUCCUCGCUCUCUCUUGCUUUCACUCUACAUGUCUGUGUAGGUGUACGCGUGCGUUGGCGUUCUUUUCUUCGUUUUUUUUUUGUUAGCGUGUGUGUGCGUGUGUGCGGCUCGCUGCCUUGAGGGCUCGCUUCGCUGUCUGUCUGUGUCCGCGUCUUGCCUCACGCUGCCCUCUUCAGCGGCCAACGUCUUCUCCUUUGAUUUGGCUGCAUAGUUCGCUCGUAUCCGGGACGUCACGCAUGACGCUCAUCUGUGCGUCUUUCCUUCAUCGACUACUCUUUCAGACUUGCUCUUGUCUCUCUUUUGUGUGUGUGUGUGUCGUGGAUAAUGACGAUAACGGGUUUGGGCGUGUCUUUCCCGAUGCAUGGCAGCGCCACGUCCUGCGUGCACGCGGGUGCAUCGUUUACUUUAUUCUUAUCAUGUGUCACGGGCGACGGAGGUGACGCUGGGCCUAUCUUUCUCUCUUUCUCUCAGGCUGUCAAUC